RNAcentral lists this ribosomal RNA (492 nucleotides) under uncultured bacterium. RNAcentral describes it as "partial 16S ribosomal RNA". It matches the Rfam family "Bacterial small subunit ribosomal RNA", at positions 29 to 507 of the family's 1533-position model. The record is from RNAcentral.
AGUGAACGCUGGCGGUAGGCCUAACACAUGCAAGUCGAACGGCAGCACAGUAAGAGCUUGCUCUUACGGGUGGCGAGUGGCGGACGGGUGAGGAAUACAUCGGAAUCUACUUUUUCGUGGGGGAUAACGUAGGGAAACUUACGCUAAUACCGCAUACGACCUACGGGUGAAAGCAGGGGAUCUUCGGACCUUGCGCGAUUGAAUGAGCCGAUGUCGGAUUAGCUAGUUGGCGGGGUAAAGGCCCACCAAGGCGACGAUCCGUAGCUGGUCUGAGAGGAUGAUCAGCCACACUGGAACUGAGACAAGGUCCAGACUCCUACGGGAGGCAGCAGUGGGGAAUAUUGGACAAAGGGCGCAAGCCUGAUCCAGCAAUACCGCGUGGGUGAAGAAGGCCUUCGGGUUGUAAAGCCCUUUUGUUGGGAAAGAAAAGCAGCAGGUUAAUACCCCGCUGUUCUGACGGUACCCAAAGAAUAAGCAACGGCUAACUUCGUG